UUGGCCCUGAAUCAAGGCCAGUAGUUUGCUGUAGCUGCUGGUUUCAAACAGGAGCCUAAAGAGAAGUCUUUCUAUGGUCUGUUGGCCAUUUCAGAACUUUGGAAAUGAAAUGGUCAAUUCAUUAGAAAGAAACAGCU
Small nucleolar RNA from Octodon degus (degu), 137 nucleotides. NCBI's taxonomy places the organism in Eukaryota, Metazoa, Chordata, Mammalia, Rodentia, Octodontidae. The record is from Ensembl.